This is an RNA transcript of Coffea eugenioides, 1199 nucleotides long. It is a transcript of the gene named transmembrane protein 120 homolog, with no coding region annotated. Lineage: Eukaryota; Viridiplantae; Streptophyta; Magnoliopsida; Gentianales; Rubiaceae. The transcript has 7 exons. The record is from RefSeq and is a predicted model, not a curated record.
ACAACAGUUGUCAAUUUACCUUGGGUGCUUUUGUCUAUCAGUCGGGGCAUAGGUUUUUUUCUUAUGUUUGGAAUAUUAGGCGAAUAGGCAAAGUUUGAGAUUUGCAAUUGAGACCUGCUGUGAGAAGACGACUAUAAAAUAGCAUGCUACUCAAGCAGAUUGUGAGCUUCAACUCAAACCAUGAGUUCUAGACCCUAUUUGAGUUUGGUUACUCUACUCUACCUCUUGACUAGAACCAGAAUAGGACAAGGCUGCACUUCUUUUCCUCCUCUUUCCGUUAAGAUUGCUUAUUCUAAGAUGAUGGAUAUGGGAUGGAUGCUUGCCAGCAUUUCCAGUUCAGCUCUAACAGUCCUGGAUGCUGUUCUUAUAAACAGGAUUGGCUCUACGAGAGAAUAUCUUAAGGAAAAAUGGAAGUGAUAUUCGUCAAUGAGAGGGGUGCUACUUUUUUACAGUGGGCUAUUAUGCAAGGAGUUGCAAUGAUCUUGCAGAACAGAUACCAACGGCAAAGACUCUAUACUCGCAUUGCUUUGGGAAAGGCUAAAAGAAUAGAUGUUGUCUGGGGAGAAACAGCUGGUGUGGAUGGACAGUUAUGGCCUUUGUACCCAAUACUUUUUGCUACGAAGGUAGUAUUUUGCCGGAUCCUUUGGUUCUCAUGGCGAUUUGCAAUUUCACAAACACCAUCCACACUUUGAUGGCAAAGUCACAGUUCAAAGCAACAAUGAAAAGAAGUACAAGCCCGUGUUAGAUCAGUGCAUCCUGAUAGCAAAGGAGAAUGUCCUAGGUUCUCGUAUCUGUGUUAGUUAUGACAGAAGGGGUGGAUUACUAUCCUUUAGUUUGGGUCCAAAAAGUAUUCAACUCUCCGCUGAUCUGUCGUCUUCCUUUGUCAGAAGUAACGUCUCCGUCCUCCUCCUUGGUGUGAGCCAUUCUGUCGGCCAUAUUUUCCUGAUUGUCCUUAUUGAGCGGGAUGGGCGCCAUCCCUUGUGAAUCGUUGACAAGCUUCUCGACAUCCUUCAUUGAUAGACUUCUGUGGACGUGGUUUGUAAUAAUAUGGCAAUGCAGAAAAAAGUUGAUAGAGCUGCCUCCACUGGAAAAGAUUUCGAGUAUUUGGAGGAAGAAAAGAGUUUCUUUUCUGGUGGAGUUUAUCAUAGUAUGGAUCCUGGAUUAUUUUCCACUCAACGUAUCAUAUAAAGAAAGUUUUC